This 522-nucleotide ribosomal RNA is filed under the name Borreliella garinii. RNAcentral's name for it is "bacterial SSU rRNA". It matches the Rfam family "Bacterial small subunit ribosomal RNA", at positions 8 to 524 of the family's 1533-position model. Lineage: Bacteria; Pseudomonadati; Spirochaetota; Spirochaetia; Spirochaetales; Borreliaceae. The record is from RNAcentral.
AGAGUUUGAUCCUGGCUUAGAACUAACGCUGGCAGUGCGUCUUAAGCAUGCAAGUCAAACGGGAUGUAGCAAUACAUCUAGUGGCGAACGGGUGAGUAACGCGUGGAUGAUCUACCUACGAGAUGGGGAUAACUAUUAGAAAUAGUAGCUAAUACCGAAUAAAGUCAAUUAAUUUGUUAAUGGAUGAAAGGAAGCCUUUAAAGCUUCGCUUGUAGAUGAGUCUGCGUCUUAUUAGCUAGUUGGUAGGGUAAAUGCCUACCAAGGCGAUGAUAAGUAACCGGCCUGAGAGGGUGAACGGUCACACUGGAACUGAGAUACGGUCCAGACUCCUACGGGAGGCAGCAGCUAAGAAUCUUCCGCAAUGGGCGAAAGCCUGACGGAGCGACUCUGCGUGAAUGAAGAAGGUCGAAAGAUUGUAAAAUUCUUUUAUAAAUGAGGAAUAAGCUUUGUAGGAAAUGACAAAGUGAUGACGUUAAUUUAUGAAUAAGCCCCGGCUAAUUACGUGCCAGCAGCCGCGGUAAU